CCUACGGGUGGCAGCAGUGGGGAAUAUUGGACAAUGGGCGAAAGCCUGAUCCAGCCAUGCCGCGUGUGUGAAGAAGGCCUUCGGGUUGUAAAGCACUUUCAGUGGGGAAGAAAGCCUUGGGGCUAAUACCCUCGAGGAAGGACAUCACCCACAGAAGAAGCACCGGCUAACUCCGUGCCAGCAGCCGCGGUAAUACGGAGGGUGCGAGCGUUAAUCGGAAUUACUGGGCGUAAAGCGCGCGUAGGCGGUCUGAUAAGCCGGUUGUGAAAGCCCCGGGCGCAACCUGGGAACGGCAUCCGGAACUGUCAGGCUAGAGUGCAGGAGAGGAAGGUAGAAUUCCCGGUGUAGCGGUGAAAUGCGUAGAGAUCGGGAGGAAUACCAGUGGCGAAGGCGGCCUUCUGGACUGACACUGACGCUGAGGUGCGAAAGCGUGGGUAGCAAACAGGAUUAGAUACCCCUGUAGUC
This 465-nucleotide ribosomal RNA is filed under the name Vreelandella stevensii. RNAcentral describes it as "partial 16S ribosomal RNA". It matches the Rfam family "Bacterial small subunit ribosomal RNA", at positions 338 to 795 of the family's 1533-position model. Lineage: Bacteria; Pseudomonadati; Pseudomonadota; Gammaproteobacteria; Oceanospirillales; Halomonadaceae. The record is from RNAcentral.